This 121-nucleotide ribosomal RNA is filed under the name Plasmodium reichenowi. RNAcentral's name for it is "5.8S ribosomal RNA". It matches the Rfam family "5.8S ribosomal RNA", at positions 1 to 117 of the family's 154-position model. From Rfam's summary of the family: 5.8S ribosomal RNA (5.8S rRNA) is a component of the large subunit of the eukaryotic ribosome. It is transcribed by RNA polymerase I as part of the 45S precursor that also contains 18S and 28S rRNA. Functionally, it is thought that 5.8S rRNA may be involved in ribosome translocation. Lineage: Eukaryota; Apicomplexa; Aconoidasida; Haemosporida; Plasmodiidae. The record is from RNAcentral.
UAGCACAAUCUUAACGAUGGAUGUCUUGGCUCUUGUAGCGAUGAAGGCCGCAGCAAAACGCGAUAAGCAAUGAAAAUUGCAAUUACUGUAAAUCAUCAGAAUGCUGAAUGUAAAUUACACC